This is a long non-coding RNA of Lactuca sativa (garden lettuce), 715 nucleotides long. RefSeq lists it as uncharacterized. The record is from RefSeq and is a predicted model, not a curated record. NCBI's taxonomy places the organism in Eukaryota, Viridiplantae, Streptophyta, Magnoliopsida, Asterales, Asteraceae.
ACCUAUUGCCUCUUCCAUCUUCACCACCCACAAAAUCAUAUCCCUCCCACUUCUGCAAUUAUACGCAUCUUAAUCUCUUAUCCGGCAAUCAAUCCUAACCCACCCACGUUCGAAGAUGACAUGAUCGUUGGAUGGAACAACUUCAAAAUCGAAAUCAGAAUCGGGAACCAACCCUCCAGGGCUCGUUCAAUCGACGUGCGUUCAAUGUACAGUUACAAUAAAAUCUGAUUAACCCUGUGCAAUCGUUCAUAUCCGCUUCAUUAUCUUCACACACUAUCGAUGCCCUUAAUACAGAGAGAAGGAACGAAUUUCUUCCACCUGCUCGAAUUUUCAUCACCAAAACCCUACGAAUUGUUAAUCAAACAUCUGUUGUGACUAACUAUAUGCACGAGGAAGAUGAUGGAAUAUUUAACAUUUUUGAUUAAGUGGAUGAUAAAUUCAAGGAUGUUGAUAAUGAAGCAAGAAGUUCAUGAAGCCAAAGGAAAAGAUAAUGUUUAGUUUCAUAUAUGUGAUGAAAUUUUAAAUAUUUGAAAGUUGAUUAUAUUUUUUUUGUGGUUUAGGUUUUGAAUUGUUAUUGAUGUGGAACAGAAAGAAAAUGGAUUGAAAGUGUAUUCUAGGCAAAUAUGUUCUGUCAGAAUAUUUAGAAUAUUUACCACAAAAUUUGAUGUGAUUCUUAGCAAUAAUAUUCUUUAAGAAUGAAUUAGUGUUUUUGUUA